RNAcentral lists this ribosomal RNA (429 nucleotides) under Pseudomonadota bacterium. RNAcentral describes it as "Proteobacteria bacterium partial 16S ribosomal RNA". It matches the Rfam family "Bacterial small subunit ribosomal RNA", at positions 355 to 776 of the family's 1533-position model. Lineage: Bacteria; Pseudomonadati; Pseudomonadota. The record is from RNAcentral.
UGGGGAAUAUUGGACAAUGGGCGAAAGCCUGAUCCAGCCAUGCCGCGUGUGUGAAGAAGGUCUUCGGAUUGUAAAGCACUUUAAGUUGGGAGGAAGGGCAGUAAGCGAAUACCUUGCUGUUUUGACGUUACCGACAGAAUAAGCACCGGCUAACUCUGUGCCAGCAGCCGCGGUAAUACAGAGGGUGCAAGCGUUAAUCGGAAUUACUGGGCGUAAAGCGCGCGUAGGUGGUUCGUUAAGUUGAAUGUGAAAGCCCCAGGCUCAACCUGGGAACUGCAUCCAAAACUGGCGAGCUAGAGUAGGGCAGAGGGUGGUGGAAUUUCCUGUGUAGCGGUGAAAUGCGUAGAUAUAGGAAGGAACACCAGUGGCGAAGGCGACCACCUGGGCUCAUACUGACACUGAGUUGCGAAAGCGUGGGGAGCAAACAGG